UGAACAUACCAAUUGUUGCCUCGGCGGAUCAGCCCGCUCCCGGUAAAACGGGACGGCCCGCCAGAGGACCCCUAAACUCUGUUUCUAUAUGUAACUUCUGAGUAAAACCAUAAAUAAAUCAAAACUUUCAACAACGGAUCUCUUGGUUCUGGCAUCGAUGAAGAACGCAGCAAAAUGCGAUAAGUAAUGUGAAUUGCAGAAUUCAGUGAAUCAUCGAAUCUUUGAACGCACAUUGCGCCCGCCAGUAUUCUGGCGGGCAUGCCUGUUCGAGCGUCAUUUCAACCCUCAAGCCCAGCUUGGUGUUGGGACUCGCGAGUUAAAUCGCGUUCCCCAAAUUGAUUGGCGGUCACGUCGAGCUUCCAUAGCGUAGUAGUAAAACCCUCGUUACUGGUAAUCGUCGCGGCCACGCCGUUAAACCCCAACUUCUGAAUGUUGACCUCGGAUCAGGUAGGAAUACCCGCUGAACUUAAGCAUAUCAAUAAGCGGAGGAAAAGAAACCAACAGGGAUUGCCCUAGUAACGGCGAGUGAAGCGGCAACAGCUCAAAUUUGAAAUCUGGCUCUCGGGCCCGAG
Molecule: ribosomal RNA, 572 nt
Filed under: Fusarium circinatum
Lineage: Eukaryota; Fungi; Ascomycota; Sordariomycetes; Hypocreales; Nectriaceae
Description: eukaryotic LSU rRNA
Rfam family: 5.8S ribosomal RNA (bases 123-276)
Source: RNAcentral